UCGCCUACGGGGGGCUGCAGUGGGGAAUAUUGGACAAUGGGGGCAACCCUGAUCCAGCCAUGCCGCGUGAGUGAUGAAGGCCCUAGGGUUGUAAAGCUCUUUUGUGCGGGAAGAUAAUGACGGUACCGCAAGAAUAAGCCCCGGCUAACUUCGUGCCAGCAGCCGCGGUAAUACGAAGGGGGCUAGCGUUGCUCGGAAUCACGUGGCGACAAGGGUGCGUAGGCGGGUCUUUAAAUCAGGGGUGAAAUCCUGGAGCUCAACUCCAGAACUGCCUUUGAUACUGAAGAUCUUGAGUUCGGGAGAGGUGAGUGGAACUGCGAGUGUAGAGGUGAAAUUCGUAGAUAUUCGCAAGAACACCAGUGGCGAAGGCGGCUCACUGGCCCGAUACUGACGCUGAGGCACGAAAGCGUGGGGAGCAAACAGGAUUAGAUACCCCUGUAGUCUC
Molecule: ribosomal RNA, 445 nt
Filed under: uncultured Bradyrhizobium sp.
Lineage: Bacteria; Pseudomonadati; Pseudomonadota; Alphaproteobacteria; Hyphomicrobiales; Nitrobacteraceae
Description: bacterial SSU rRNA
Rfam family: Bacterial small subunit ribosomal RNA
Source: RNAcentral